UUAUUUUAUUGAUGUUGUUCAGACGACACGUUUAUAAUGGGUUUGAGAAAACUUCUGACGGCAAGCCGCCAAAGAAACGGGUAUUAAGUCAAAGGGUUUAAGGUUGGACCCGGAGGUCCCCUUCAAUAAUGAUCCUUCCGCAGGUUCACCUACGGAAA
Molecule: unclassified non-coding RNA, 158 nt
Filed under: uncultured fungus
Lineage: Eukaryota; Fungi
Description: sequence contains ITS1
Source: RNAcentral